Coprococcus comes CAG:19 is the source of this 346-nucleotide non-coding RNA. The record is from Rfam. Lineage: Bacteria; Bacillati; Bacillota; Clostridia; Lachnospirales; Lachnospiraceae.
GGGCUUGUACUGGUUUCGACGGGGGCACGGAAGUCAAGGAAGCCAUCCGUAGCGGGACACUACGUUAAAAGUUCCAACUAAAUAUAAACGCAGACGAAAAUUUAGCGUACGCUGCCUAGUUGCAGCAGUCGGCCUUGAGUCUCUCAUCGCUUAAGUAACCGGCUUCGACCAGAUGAGGCACUUCGUUUCCAAAGCUUUGAGGGAAUGGAAGAAUUUAUGAAGCUACUAAAGUAAGCAGCCUGUUGUUCGGCGGCUUAUGGAGGAAAUGUCAAAAGAAUGACUGUGAUGGGAGAUGCCUUUAUGGAAGAGCUUUCGGACAGGGGUUCGAUUCCCCUCAGGUCCAUAC